CAAUGUUGGCUGCUUUGAAAAUCUCAUAGUUUUUGGACAGCAGUAUUAGUAAAGUGUAAGAAAAUUGUCAAAGCUUGGAGCUAUGCUUGUUGAACUUUUGUACCAAUAGCACCUUUACCAGAGGUUGCGUGUUUAAAGCCCGAAGAAAACUUUGCUUUUCUGAAAGAAUA
This is an unclassified non-coding RNA of Gorilla gorilla gorilla (western lowland gorilla), 170 nucleotides long. The record is from Ensembl. NCBI's taxonomy places the organism in Eukaryota, Metazoa, Chordata, Mammalia, Primates, Hominidae.